UCGGGCGUGGUGUACGGUGCACCGCGGGUCUGUGUCAAACGUUGUCGCAGUAGCUUUAUUCCGCAGGCUGGGGUUCGAUUCCCCGCGCCCGAA
Non-coding RNA from Mycena vulgaris, 93 nucleotides. The record is from the annotation of a GenBank genome assembly. Lineage: Eukaryota; Fungi; Basidiomycota; Agaricomycetes; Agaricales; Mycenaceae.